UAGAGGCUGAAAGGAAAACUUAAGUAAGAAGGUUACAGUUUGAUUGAGUGAAUUUCUUGCAUGAUAUAUCAGUUAUACCAAUCUUUAGCACAAAACCUUUUGAUCUUCUAUUGCAAAACCCCAAAAAUAUUGUAUAGGAUUAAUCUUUUGCAUCAACAGCUCAAUCUUUCCAUGGCUCCCAACAGCAAGUGCAAGUGCAAGUACAAGUGCUCUACCUCCACCACAGCCAAGUACUCUAAGUCCACCACUACCAGCAGGUCCAUUACUAAGUCCACUACUACCAGCAGGUCCACCACUAAGCCCGCCACCACCACCAAAAAAAUAGACCAUGGCCAAAAGCAUAAGAAAAUUGGAGCUUCUUCAUCAGCACCAAAAGCUAAAACCAGUCAAUGCAGAAACCACUACCCCGAUCACCACUAUCAUCGACAAAUAUCAAAGCCAAAAGCACCAAAAAAUGCCCUCACUCAACCAAAGCCUACACUAGGCAUGGCAAAUGCCGGGGCCACCUUCAAAUCCACCACCACCAAGGCCACCCUCAGGUUGGGACAAGGAGUAGAAUUCGAAAUGGUAACAGAAGAAGCAGUAUUCAUAGAUGGACAGCUAGUUUUUAUCAGUUAAUGGCAUGCAAGUUCUCAGUUUCUAAAGGAGUUGGAUGCUGCAGCUAUGAAGGAAUCCUUAGCUGAAUCUAUCCUGGGAUUCAUCAGAACUUGUAAUAUGUUAGGAGAUUAUGUUGAAAUUUUAUUUUUUUUUCCUUUUUCUGGUGUUUGUACUUGGUGAACAAAAUAAUAGAAUUAUCUAAUUAUAAC
Pistacia vera is the source of this 806-nucleotide long non-coding RNA. RefSeq lists it as uncharacterized. The transcript has 2 exons. The record is from RefSeq and is a predicted model, not a curated record. NCBI's taxonomy places the organism in Eukaryota, Viridiplantae, Streptophyta, Magnoliopsida, Sapindales, Anacardiaceae.